Molecule: ribosomal RNA, 581 nt
Filed under: proteobacterium RDB-184
Lineage: Bacteria; Pseudomonadati; Pseudomonadota
Description: bacterial SSU rRNA
Rfam family: Bacterial small subunit ribosomal RNA
Source: RNAcentral
ACGGGUGAGUAAUAUAUCGGAACGUGCCCAGUUGUGGGGGAUAGCCCGGCGAAAGCCGGAUUAAUACCGCAUACGACCUGAGGGUGAAAGCGGGGGAUCGCAAGACCUCGCGCAAUUGGAGCGGCCGAUAUCAGAUUAGCUAGUUGGUGGGGUAAAGGCCUACCAAGGCGACGAUCUGUAGCUGGUCUGAGAGGACGACCAGCCACACUGGGACUGAGACACGGCCCAGACUCCUACGGGAGGCAGCAGUGGGGAAUUUUGGACAAUGGGCGCAAGCCUGAUCCAGCCAUGCCGCGUGCGGGAAGAAGGCCUUCGGGUUGUAAACCGCUUUUGUCAGGGAAGAAACGGUCUGACCUAAUACGUUGGACUAAUGACGGUACCUGAAGAAUAAGCACCGGCUAACUACGUGCCAGCAGCCGCGGUAAUACGUAGGGUGCAAGCGUUAAUCGGAAUUACUGGGCGUAAAGCGUGCGCAGGCGGCUAUGCAAGACAGAUGUGAAAUCCCCGGGCUCAACCUGGGAACUGCAUUUGUGACUGCAUGGCUAGAGUACGGUAGAGGGGGAUGGAAUUCCGCGUGUAGC